GUGAGGACCCUUGACCUCUGGCCCAAGAUGGUGGCGCCCAGAGCUUCGCUCUUGCUGCUCCCCUGAGAGAGGCGUUUCCAUCAACCAGUUUUGCAAGGAGUUCAAUGAGAGGACAAAGGACAUCAAGGAAGGCAUUCCUCUGCCUACCAAGAUUUUAGUGAAGCCUGACAGGACAUUUGAAAUUAAGAUUGGACAGCCCACUGUUUCCUACUUCCUGAAGGCAGCAGCUGGGAUUGAAAAGGGGGCCCGGCAAACAGGGAAAGAGGUGGCAGGCCUGGUGACCUUGAAGCAUGUGUAUGAGAUUGCCCGCAUCAAAGCUCAGGAUGAGGCAUUUGCCCUGCAGGAUGUACCCCUGUCGUCUGUUGUCCGCUCCAUCAUCGGGUCUGCCCGUUCUCUGGGCAUUCGCGUGGUGAAGGACCUCAGUUCAGAAGAGCUUGCAGCUUUCCAGAAGGAACGAGCCAUCUUCCUGGCUGCUCAGAAGGAGGCAGAUUUGGCUGCCCAAGAAGAAGCUGCCAAGAAGUGACCCUUGCCCCACCAACUCCCAGAUUUCAAAGGAGGUAGUUGCAAAAGCUGUGCCCAAGGGGAGGAAGGAGGUCACACCAAUAUGAUGAUGGUUUUCAUGACUUUGAAUGAUAUAUUUUUGUACAUCUAGCUGUAUCGAGGCAUCAGGCCUGAAUAAACAUCCUUUCUUACCCA
This 696-nucleotide long non-coding RNA is filed under the name Homo sapiens (human). RNAcentral describes it as "HSALNT0177051". The record is from RNAcentral. Lineage: Eukaryota; Metazoa; Chordata; Mammalia; Primates; Hominidae.